UACGUAGGGUGCGAGCGUUAAUCGGAAUUACUGGGCGUAAAGCGUGCGCAGGCGGUUCGUUAAGUUCGAUGUGAAAGCCCCAGGCUCAACUUGGGAACUGCAUCCGAUACUGGAUGGCUUGAAUCCGGGAGAGGGAUGCAGAAUUCCAGGUGUAGCGGUGAAAUGCGUAGAUAUCUGGAGGAAUACCGGUGGCGAAGGCGGCAUCCUGGACCGGCAUUGACGCUGAUGAGCGAAAGCUAGGGGAGCAAACGGG
RNAcentral lists this ribosomal RNA (253 nucleotides) under uncultured bacterium. Its description in RNAcentral is "partial 16S ribosomal RNA". It matches the Rfam family "Bacterial small subunit ribosomal RNA", at positions 524 to 776 of the family's 1533-position model. The record is from RNAcentral.